This 255-nucleotide ribosomal RNA is filed under the name uncultured bacterium. RNAcentral describes it as "partial 16S ribosomal RNA". It matches the Rfam family "Bacterial small subunit ribosomal RNA", at positions 524 to 776 of the family's 1533-position model. The record is from RNAcentral.
UACGAAGGGGGCUAGCGUUGCUCGGAAUCACUGGGCGUAAAGGGCGCGUAGGCGGCGUUUUUAAGUCGGGGGUGAAAGCCUGUGGCUCAACCACAGAAUUGCCUUCGAUACUGGGACGCUUGAGUGUGGUAGAGGUUGGUGGAACUGCGAGUGUAGAGGUGAAAAUUCGUAGAUAUCCGAAAGAACACCGGUGGCGAAGGCGGUGGUCUGGGCCUGAACUGACGCUGAGGAGCGAAAGCCAGGGGAGCAAACGGG